This 74-nucleotide ribosomal RNA is filed under the name Phocaeicola coprocola. The record is from RNAcentral. Lineage: Bacteria; Pseudomonadati; Bacteroidota; Bacteroidia; Bacteroidales; Bacteroidaceae.
UCAGGUGACUAUUGCACGAAGGUUCCACCUCUUCCCAUUCCGAACAGAGAAGUUAAGCUUCGUCACGCCGAUGG